This is a long non-coding RNA of Schistocerca serialis cubense, 931 nucleotides long. RefSeq lists it as uncharacterized. Lineage: Eukaryota; Metazoa; Arthropoda; Insecta; Orthoptera; Acrididae. The record is from RefSeq and is a predicted model, not a curated record. The transcript has 2 exons.
GCUACCAUUUGUCACCGCUGCACAGCGCUAGCGUAUGUGUGUGUGUGUCGUCAACUUUUUAGCGGUGUACUGUUUACUGUCGUUUUCGUUUUCACUUUGUUUUUGUAGAAUAAUGGAGUGGUCAAGGCAACAAAUUGUCGAUUUAAUUGCAAUGUACCAGGGGGAGGAUUGUUUAUGGAACGUCCGGAGCAAGGAUUACAAAAAUACCGUUAAAAAACACGAUGCACUUGCAAAAAUUGCAACAGCUUUUGGCACGGACAAGAGAAGUGUUGAGAAGAAAAUACGAUCGCUCGUGGUUGCGUACAGGCGCGAGAAAAGAAAAAUUAUUGCCAGCAGACCAUCUGGUAGUGGUGCAGACACUGCAUAUGACUCGAACUGGUUCGGCUAUCGGCUGCUGCAGUUCUUGGACGAUGUACAUGAGCCAAAGGAGACAACAGAUACUGUGGAAAAUGAGGUUUUCGUACAUUCGCCAGAGGGCACAAAUGAGGAUGAAGAGGUUGCAGCUGGACCUUCCAGUCCUCCACCACCAAAAAUCAGAAGGAUGAUGAGCGAGAAAAAAGACAUGCAGCAACCCUUCAAGAUUUCGUCUCAAUUGCUAACUAAAGUGCUGCAAAAACAAUAAGACAAGGACGAUGAAUGCAGUACGUAUGGGCAGUAUGUGGCCUCAGUUUUAAGGAAAUUGCCCGAGUUACAACGAGCAAAAACAAUGGCUUUGCUUAAUAAUGUAAUAAUGAAACAAAAUGUAGCGUAUUUAGAAAGUGAGCUGUCGAAAAGGGGUAUGAAUGUAGCAGGGCCAUCAUCAUCAAGUAACAAUUCCCCUGUUACAUUUACAAGUUAUGUAGACAGUGACAACGCAGUUGAAGAAGUUGUGUUUGACGAAUUAUGUAACGUAAUUGAGAAAUAAUAACACUUCGAAAAUGUGCUUAUUUAA